GGGAAAGUUGACUUUGAAUUAAUGGACUGUAAUCAAGAAGAGGAAGAACUUUUAAUUGUGUGUGUUACUCUCGUACCGUUUGCGCCGAGGACUUUUAUUUACUUUACAGGAAAAAAAACGUGGAAUUUUUGCACGUGCUUUAGUGACUGUCGCACACGUUUCAUCUACUUUCACUUUUUUUUUUUUUUUUUUUUUCAAACGUCUUUCGAUAUACAUUUUUUAAAUGGUUCGUACGAUCAAGUCCGGUUGCGGAGACUCACGUGUCACGUUAUCACAUCGUACUCACGUAAUUACACGUCAAACGCGUGCGACUCUUCUGUAACGGCUCUAGAAAUGAAAAGAAUGGUUUUUCACUGAGGUCUUGUAUACAGAGGACAUUUUGCAGGCGCAGGAAGCUACUGGAAAUUCAGACACUGACAACAAUGCGAAAAACGAUAAAAUAUGGAUCACUUCCGGUACGGAUGUAAAGUCCGAGCGAUGGAAGUCCAUUUCACGAAGGUACGACAGAGAGCGAAAUAGAUCCAAGACUUGAACCUGAGCUUGGCUUGGUCUUGACGACUGACCGAUUUCAGUUUUGGAGACUUUCUGACCCCAAGACGCAACUCACUUCUGCAGUUCUCCAGCUGUGAUCCUUGGAGAUUUUUAUCCACUCGAACCGUCCUCUUCACGGUGCGUUGAGACGAUAUAGACACACGU
This is a long non-coding RNA of Ictalurus punctatus (channel catfish), 696 nucleotides long. The record is from Ensembl. Lineage: Eukaryota; Metazoa; Chordata; Actinopteri; Siluriformes; Ictaluridae.